Molecule: long non-coding RNA, 398 nt
Organism: Solea solea (common sole)
Lineage: Eukaryota; Metazoa; Chordata; Actinopteri; Pleuronectiformes; Soleidae
Exons: 3
Source: RefSeq, a predicted model, not a curated record
CAAUUGGUUGCCUGUCGUUCAAUCGUGAGAUACGGGGGUGGGACAUUGAGUAGUCAGGUUAGUUAGACCGACACAGAGAAACUAAGAGAUGACACAGGUGGUUUUGCUGUAAUGUCAGAUUAUUGUCCUCCUGCCGGGAUAAAUGCAGAGUUUAUCAAAUAUAUAUGGACGUACAAAAGCACACAGAAGAGGACGGGACGGAAUACACUUCUUGGACCUUGUCGAAGCUGUAUCGGCUGUGAGUGAGAAGCCACGCGGGUCAUGGCCAUGGUCACUGGAUGUUUCCAGCGAGCAGGUAGAGCCAGGUGAGCAGGCCGACCGCUGUGAGUGACACCACCAGCAGCUUCAGGCGUCCACGGCACAGCAGGUUCAUGGUGGGACGGCAGCGCUGCGGGCUC